CGCAGGGUAGAGCAGUCCGGAAGCUCGCGUGGCUCAUAACCAUGAGGUCGGCGGUUCAAAUCCGCCCCCUGCAACCA
This 77-nucleotide transfer RNA is filed under the name Microvirga brassicacearum. RNAcentral's name for it is "Microvirga sp. CDVBN77 tRNA-Met". It matches the Rfam family "tRNA". From Rfam's summary of the family: Transfer RNA (tRNA) molecules are approximately 80 nucleotides in length. The record is from RNAcentral. Lineage: Bacteria; Pseudomonadati; Pseudomonadota; Alphaproteobacteria; Hyphomicrobiales; Methylobacteriaceae.